AGUGAACGCUGGCGGUAGGCCUAACACAUGCAAGUCGAACGGCAGCACAGUAAGAGCUUGCUCUUACGGGUGGCGAGUGGCGGACGGGUGAGGAAUACAUCGGAAUCUACUUUUUCGUGGGGGAUAACGUAGGGAAACUUACGCUAAUACCGCAUACGACCUACGGGUGAAAGCAGGGGAUCUUCGGACCUUGCGCGAUUGAAUGAGCCGAUGUCGGAUUAGCUAGUUGGCGGGGUAAAGGCCCACCAAGGCGACGAUCCGUAGCUGGUCUGAGAGGAUGAUCAGCCACACUGGAACUGAGACACGGUCCAGACUCCUACGGGAGGCAGCAGUGGGGAAUAUUGGACAAUGGGCGCAAGCCUGAUCCAGCCAUACCGCGUGGGUGAAGAAGGCCUUCGGGUUGUAAAGCCCUUUUGUUGGGAAAGAAAAGCAGCAGGUUAAUACCCUGCUGUUCUGACGGUACCCAAAGAAUAAGCACCGGCUAACUUCGU
This 491-nucleotide ribosomal RNA is filed under the name uncultured bacterium. RNAcentral describes it as "partial 16S ribosomal RNA". It matches the Rfam family "Bacterial small subunit ribosomal RNA", at positions 29 to 506 of the family's 1533-position model. The record is from RNAcentral.